This 423-nucleotide ribosomal RNA is filed under the name uncultured microorganism. RNAcentral describes it as "bacterial SSU rRNA". It matches the Rfam family "Archaeal small subunit ribosomal RNA", at positions 330 to 713 of the family's 1478-position model. The record is from RNAcentral.
GUGCAGCAGUCGAGAAAACUCCGCAAUGCUCGAAAGAGUGACGGGGGGAUUCCAAGUGCCUACGCUUAGCGUAGGCUGUUCAGAUGCCUAAAAAGCAUCUGGAGUAAGGGCUGGGUAAGACGGGUGCCAUCUGCAGUGGUAAUGAAAAACUUGCUACUGCAAGGCAUAAGCCGCCGCGGUAAUACCCGCAGCCCGAGUGGUAGUCGCUUUCAUUGGGCCUAAAGCGUCCGUAGCCGGUCUGGUAAAUGCCUGGGGUAAAUCGUGGGGCCUAACCUCACGAAUUCCGGGUAGACUGCCAGACUUGGGACCGGUUGAGGGAGAGGGUACUCCAGGGGUAGGGGUGAAAUCCUGUAAUCCUUGGAGGACCACCGGUGGCGAAAGCGCUCUCCGUAGGACGGGUCCGACGGUGAGGGACGAAAGCCA